UACGGAGGGUGCAAGCGUUAAUCGGAAUCACUGGGCGUAAAGCGCACGUAGGCGGCCUGGUAAGUCAGGGGUGAAAUCCCACAGCCCAACUGUGGAACUGCCUUUGAUACUGCCAGGCUUGAGUACCGGAGAGGGUGGCGGAAUUCCAGGUGUAGGAGUGAAAUCCGUAGAUAUCUGGAGGAACACCGGUGGCGAAGGCGGCCACCUGGACGGUAACUGACGCUGAGGUGCGAAAGCGUGGGUAGCAAACAGG
This 253-nucleotide ribosomal RNA is filed under the name Bilophila wadsworthia. RNAcentral describes it as "partial 16S ribosomal RNA". It matches the Rfam family "Bacterial small subunit ribosomal RNA", at positions 524 to 776 of the family's 1533-position model. The record is from RNAcentral. Lineage: Bacteria; Pseudomonadati; Thermodesulfobacteriota; Desulfovibrionia; Desulfovibrionales; Desulfovibrionaceae.